Molecule: small nuclear RNA, 103 nt
Organism: Symphalangus syndactylus (siamang)
Lineage: Eukaryota; Metazoa; Chordata; Mammalia; Primates; Hylobatidae
Source: RefSeq, a predicted model, not a curated record
AUGCUUGUUUCAGCAGCACAUAGACUAAAACUGGAAUGAUACAAAGAAGAUUAGCAUGGCCCCAACGCAAGGAUGACAAAUUCAUGAAGCAUUCUAUAAUUUU